This 618-nucleotide ribosomal RNA is filed under the name uncultured bacterium. RNAcentral describes it as "bacterial SSU rRNA". The stretch from base 1 to 517 matches the Rfam family "Bacterial small subunit ribosomal RNA", at positions 338 to 873 of the family's 1533-position model. The record is from RNAcentral.
CCUACGGGAGGCAGCAGUGGGGAAUAUUGGACAAUGGGCGAAAGCCUGAUCCAGCAAUGCCGCGUGAGUGAUGAAGGCCUUAGGGUUGUAAAGCUCUUUUACCAGGGAUGAUAAUGACAGUACCUGGAGAAUAAGCUCCGGCUAACUCCGUGCCAGCAGCCGCGGUAAUACGGAGGGAGCUAGCGUUGUUCGGAAUUACUGGGCGUAAAGCGUGCGUAGGCGGUGAUUCAAGUCAGAGGUGAAAGCCUGGAGCUCAACUCCAGAACGGCCUUUGAAACUAGAUCGCUAGAAUUAUGGAGAGGUAAGUGGAAUUCCGAGUGUAGAGGUGAAAUUCGUAGAUAUUCGGAAGAACACCAGUGGCGAAGGCGACUUACUGGACAUAUAUUGACGCUGAGGUACGAAAGCGUGGGGAGCAAACAGGAUUAGGAUACCCUGGUAGUCCACGCCGUAAACGAUGAUAACUAGCUGUUCGGGCUCUCAGAGCUUGAGUGGCGCAGCUACGACAUAGUUAGUCGCCGUCGGGAGGUACGGUCGGCGAGUAAGUUAAACGUUAACUUAAAGUUAGUAAGUUAGUUACGGCGUUGAGGACGUGCCGACGGACGACGACGAGGGAGGAGG